UGGGGAAUAUUGCACAAUGGGCGAAAGCCUGAUGCAACAACGCCGCGUGAGUGAUGAAGGCCUUCGGGUUGUAAAGCUCUGCCUUUUGGGACGAUAAUGACGGUACCAAAGGAGGAAGCCACGGCUAACUACGUGCCAGCAGCCGCGGUAAUACGUAGGUGGCAAGCGUUGUCCGGAUUUACUGGGCGUAAAGGAUGCGUAGGCGGAUUUUUAAGUGAGAUGUGAAAUACCCGGGCUUAACUUGGGUGCUGCAUUUCAAACUGGGAAUCUAGAGUGCGGGAGAGGAGAAUGGAAUUCCUAGUGUAGCGGUGAAAUGCGUAGAGAUUAGGAAGAACACCAGUGGCGAAGGCGAUUCUCUGGACCGUAACUGACGCUGAGGCAUGAAAGCGUGGGUAGCAAACAGGAUUAGAUACCCUGGUAGUCCACGCCGUAAACGAUGAGUACUAGGUGUAGGAGGUAUCGACCCCUUCUGUGCCGCAGUUAACACAAUAAGUACUCCGCCUGGGAAGUACGAUCGCAAGAUUAAAACUCAAAUGAAUUGACGGGGUC
RNAcentral lists this ribosomal RNA (549 nucleotides) under uncultured bacterium. RNAcentral's name for it is "partial 16S ribosomal RNA". It matches the Rfam family "Bacterial small subunit ribosomal RNA", at positions 355 to 920 of the family's 1533-position model. The record is from RNAcentral.